Non-coding RNA from Glycine max (soybean), 127 nucleotides. NCBI's taxonomy places the organism in Eukaryota, Viridiplantae, Streptophyta, Magnoliopsida, Fabales, Fabaceae. The record is from Rfam.
AAAGUGGAAUGAAGCCAAGGAUGACUUGCCGGCAUUAAUUUGCUAUGAAGCUAGAGAGUAUAGCUAUUAGCUAGCUUCAUUUGCUGAGUUUUCCGGCAGGUUAUCCUGUGGCUACAUUUGGCUUUCU